This 492-nucleotide ribosomal RNA is filed under the name uncultured bacterium. RNAcentral describes it as "partial 16S ribosomal RNA". It matches the Rfam family "Bacterial small subunit ribosomal RNA", at positions 29 to 507 of the family's 1533-position model. The record is from RNAcentral.
AGUGAACGCUGGCGGUAGGCCUAACACAUGCAAGUCGAACGGCAGCACAGUAAGAGCUUGCUCGUACGGGUGGCGAGUGGCGGACGGGUGAGGAAUACAUCGGAAUCUACUUUUUCGUGGGGGAUAACGUAGGGAAACUUACGCUAAUACCGCAUACGACCUACGGGUGAAAGCAGGGGAUCUUCGGACCUUGCGCGAGUGAAUGAGCCGAUGUCGGAUUAGCUAGUUGGCGGGGUAAAGGCCCACCAAGGCGACGAUCCGUAGCUGGUCUGAGAGGAUGAUCAGCCACACUGGAACUGAGACACGGCCCAGACUCCUACGGGAGGCAGCAGUGGGGAAUAUUGGACAAUGGGCGCAAGCCUGAUCCAGCCAUACCGCGUGGGUGAAGAAGGCCUUCGGGUUGUAAAGCCCUUUUGUUGGGAAAGAAAAGCAGCAGGUUAAUACCCCGCUGUUCUGACGGUACCCAAAGAAUAAGCACCGGCUAACUUCGUG